RNAcentral lists this long non-coding RNA (230 nucleotides) under Gossypium barbadense (sea-island cotton). RNAcentral describes it as "long non-coding RNA (GBAR_LNC014255)". Lineage: Eukaryota; Viridiplantae; Streptophyta; Magnoliopsida; Malvales; Malvaceae. The record is from RNAcentral.
CAACAACAUGAAGCCAUACCAAUUCUCUAAUCAAGCAUACCAACAAUUUAGUUACACCAAUUGACUACCAAACUGUUAUUCAAGUGCUUCAUAAGUCAUUUAACACAUUACCACCAUACAUGCAUUUCUAUAUAACCAUUACAAUUCCAAAGGUAAGCAUUCACAAAGUUCAGAUCAAAACUGCAUCCAAAACAAACCCAUAUAUUAACCCUAUGUACAUGCCACAUAAC